This 465-nucleotide ribosomal RNA is filed under the name uncultured bacterium. RNAcentral describes it as "partial 16S ribosomal RNA". It matches the Rfam family "Bacterial small subunit ribosomal RNA", at positions 28 to 507 of the family's 1533-position model. The record is from RNAcentral.
GACGAACGCUGGCGGCGUGCUUAACACAUGCAAGUCGAACGGAAAGGCCCCUCUUGCGUUAGGUGAUUGGCGGACGAGUGCGUAACACGUACGUAACCUUCCCUUGACUUCGUUAUAACUUCCGUAAACUAGGGCUAAUUCCUGCUAGAAAUCCUUGCUGCAUGGUGGGGGUUGGUCAGAUUCUGCGGUCUUGGAUGGACUCGCGGCUUAUCAGCUUGUUGGUGGGGUAGUGGCUUGCCGAGGCGUUGAUGGGUAGCUGGCCCGAGAGGGCGAACGGCCACCUUGGGACCGAGGGAAGGCCCAGGCUGCUAAGGGGGGCAACAGGGGGGAAGAUUGCACCAUGGGCGGCAGGCCGGUGCAGAAACGCCGCGGGCGGGAAGACCGGCUUCGGGGUGUAAAACGGCUUCAGCAGGGGAGAAGGUUGUGGUGACGGUACCUGCAGAAGAAGCACCGGCUAACUACGUG